UCUAGUCAUGUUCUCUCCCCUCCCCUUCCUCCUGACACACCCACCCACCUCCCUCGACUUCGAUCUAGAUCGGGAAGCCCCGGCCACUGACUCCUCGUCGCCGCCGCCACGAACGCCGGCCAUUUCCCACGAGACCCGGCGGCGCGUAGCACUCCCCUUUCCUCCCCUCCCCCAGCACCUUCCACGCAUCCGGCGCUCGCGGCCUCCAGUCUCACCCGCGGCUAGGGUUCCGCCCCCUGUCCAUUUUUCUGGAGGUCGGGCAUGGCGCGGGCGGGCCAAGCGCCGGAGACGAGGGCGCCGGAUUCGGGGGCAGGGCUCCCUUCUCCUCACGCUACAGCCGCUGGCCUCCUCCUACUCGAGGAGGAGGAGCAGGAGCAGGUGGGGCGCACCUAGCCCCCAAGGCCGCCACCGUCGAGGGCUUCUACGACCUGGAUCCCGACCUCCACGGCGCCAUCGUCCAGCAACUCGAGGUCAAGGAGAAGUCCACUCACAUGAUGUGCCCGUCCAUGGAGAGGAGCAGCAGCAGCUCAAGUUAAAGCACAACAUGAGGCUGCAGCAGAAGCUUGAGGAAUGCAGGGGCUAAUGAUAGUACUCAUCAACCAAAAUUACCGGCGUUGUCAACCAUGCUUUGAACUUUUGGAGAUCAAGAUGUACGGUUGUACCAUGAAGAUUUUUGGUAACUACCUCAACUCUCAUGAGAUGAUUAGCUUAGAAAAUCAAAAUAUUUUCUCAUUAAUUUCAGCUGAUGAGGCACAUAGUUUUGUGCUUGGGGUGCUCAGAAAGAAUAGGAUGCUUUCUUUUUUAUACAUCUCGUGUGCUUAUCCUUGUCUCAGAACAGAAAGGAAAAAAGAAUACUUGGUCUUUACAUGGAAAGGACGCUCCUAUGGUUAUUGUGAUCUCAAAGUUUGCAUAAUUUCUUCUAAUGUUUUAUUUACUCUUUUACUGGCUUCCCUGUCUUUGCUUUUUUAUUUGUGGCGCUUAGUUGCUCACCUGGCAUGCUCUGUUACCCAAGCUGCAGUUUAAGGAUUCAAGUGGCGAUUGCAACCCAAAACAUUGCGAAGAAUCUGCUGCCAGAGGCUUCAUUAUGCACACCUUUUCUUUUUUACAAAAUGGAGUCUGAUCUGCUGUCAUCACAUCAACAGGUAUGCCUACAUUACCAAUGUUUCUACAGUGACAUUUAUUCACACACAAAUGAAGAUAUUCUAAGGUUAGAACGAACAUCACCUUCAGCACCUGGUGUGUAUCGUAGUUGGAUGAUAGCAGAUUGCGCAGUGGGCCUCUCGGCGGUGUGAAAAUCCGGCAAAAGAAACCACCUAAUCAUAUAUUUGAUUAUACUUCUGAUUGCUCAGUCAUAUAUAAAGAAUAGAAUAUAAUGGACAAACCAGGUGAUAUUGCCGCGGGUGUCCUAGAUGGGGUGUGUUCUGCAUUAAGAAUAGUAGAUGUAGCUUUCUUAUGAGCCCUGUUUAGUGCAUACCUCUCCCUUUCCCUUUGUCUCUUCAACUCUUUAGGACCUGCCAUUUGGCCUACGUGGACGAAAUCUUUACGUAGGCUCGAGUUGGUGAUAUAUUUAAGUUACUUACCUGAGUUGGUGAUGUUGAAUAGGUUCUCAAAUGGGGUCUCUAAGUCGUCACGCUGAGUCGUAAUUAUUGACAUUUUCCUUGUUACAAAAUGAGCUCCGGUUUGAUUUGAAGGAAUUUGGAUCAUGAAAUGGAGCCUGAUCGGACGUCAUCACAUCAGCAUUUAUGCCUAUACCACCAAUGUCAGUAGAGUAACAUUUUUUCACACACAAAUGGAGACCCAAAUUCGUUAGGAUGAGAGGAUGCCAUAUGCAAUGUCUCAAUCAGGAUCUUAGUGUUCCCAAUCAUGGUUGUUGUACAUGAAAGAUUUACUUGAGCCAUAAACAGGAUGGUUGCGGGAGAAAAAUAAGUACAAUGAUUUGGCGUUUUCAAUGCUUUGAACUGAUGAGAAUUCUUCAAGCCUACCUAUAGCCACUAGGGCUCCUAUCAAAAUUCAUUUCCAUUAUUAUCUUACUCAUACAAUAUUCACACCAUGUAA
This is a long non-coding RNA of Triticum aestivum (bread wheat), 2055 nucleotides long. RefSeq lists it as uncharacterized. The transcript is spliced from 3 exons. The record is from RefSeq and is a predicted model, not a curated record. Lineage: Eukaryota; Viridiplantae; Streptophyta; Magnoliopsida; Poales; Poaceae.